UACGUAGGGUGCAAGCGUUAAUCGGAAUUACUGGGCGUAAAGCGUGCGCAGGCGGUUCUAUAAGACAGAUGUGAAAUCCCCGGGCUCAACCUGAGAACUGCAUUUGUGACUGUAGAGCUGGAGUACGGCAGAGGGGGAUGGAAUUCCGCGUGUAGCAGUGAAAUGCGUAGAUAUGCGGAGGAACACCGAUGGCGAAGGCAAUCCCCUGGGCCUGUACUGACGCUCAUGCACGAAAGCGUGGGGAGCAAACAGG
RNAcentral lists this ribosomal RNA (253 nucleotides) under uncultured bacterium. RNAcentral's name for it is "partial 16S ribosomal RNA". It matches the Rfam family "Bacterial small subunit ribosomal RNA", at positions 524 to 776 of the family's 1533-position model. The record is from RNAcentral.